CGUGGUAGCGUUUUUAAAAGAAUAAAGGUUUCUGUGUAGGAAACAGCUUUCAAAAGAUUUUUGUGGAUUUCUGUCUAAACCUGGAAUGUAAAACUGUGAUGUGAAUGGUGAAUGUAUGAAUGUAUAGUUAUCCUUAUAUUCAUCUGCUUGUGGUUGUAUCCUGGUUGUACUGUGUAUUUGAUCGACGCCGUGCAAAUACAGGGGAGACUCUGUCCGU
RNAcentral lists this long non-coding RNA (217 nucleotides) under Ananas comosus (pineapple). RNAcentral's name for it is "long non-coding RNA (ACOM_LNC038400)". The record is from RNAcentral. Lineage: Eukaryota; Viridiplantae; Streptophyta; Magnoliopsida; Poales; Bromeliaceae.